This 311-nucleotide ribosomal RNA is filed under the name uncultured Selenomonas sp. RNAcentral's name for it is "bacterial SSU rRNA". It matches the Rfam family "Bacterial small subunit ribosomal RNA", at positions 355 to 657 of the family's 1533-position model. The record is from RNAcentral. Lineage: Bacteria; Bacillati; Bacillota; Negativicutes; Selenomonadales; Selenomonadaceae.
UGGGGAAUCUUCCGCAAUGGGGCGAAAGCCUGACGGAGCAACGCCGCGUGAGUGAAGAAGGUCUUCGGAUCGUAAAGCUCUGUUGUCGGGGACGAAUGUUGAGACCUAGAACAUAGGUUUCAAAUGACGGUACCUGACGAGGAAGCCACGGCUAACUACGUGCCAGCAGCCGCGGUAAUACGUAGGUGGCGAGCGUUGUCCGGAAUUAUUGGGCGUAAAGGGAGCGCAGGCGGGAAAGUAAGUCUAUCUUAAAAGUGCGGGGCUCAACCCCGUGAGGGGAUAGAAACUAUUUUUUCUGAGUGCAGGAGAGG